AGCAGCCGCGGUAAUUCCAGCUCCAAUAGCGUAUAUUAAAGUUGUUGCAGUUAAAAAGCUCGUAGUUGAAUUUCGGGAUCAAUACGUCGGUCGUGCUUCGGUACGUACUGGUGUCAUUGAUUUCUCCCUUCUGACGAACCAUGAUGUCAUUAACUUGGUGUCAUGGGAAAUCAGGACUGUUACUUUGAAAAAAUUGAGUGUUUAAAGCAGGCUCACGCUUGAAUACAUUAGCAUGGAAUAAUGAAAUAGGACGUUUGAUUCUAUUUUGUUGGUUUCUAGGAUCGACGUAAUGAUUAAUAGGGAUAGUUGGGGGCAUUAGUAUUCAAUUGUCAGAGGUGAAAUUCUUGGAUUUAUUGAAGACUAAUACUGCGAAAGCAUUUGCCAAGGAUGUUUUCAUUAAUCAAGAACGAAGUUAGGGGAUCGAAGACGAUCAGAUACCGUCGUAGU
Molecule: ribosomal RNA, 447 nt
Filed under: uncultured Glomeromycotina
Lineage: Eukaryota; Fungi; Glomeromycota
Description: SSU rRNA
Rfam family: Eukaryotic small subunit ribosomal RNA
Source: RNAcentral